This is an RNA transcript of Sceloporus undulatus (fence lizard), 1945 nucleotides long. It is a transcript of the gene named zinc finger and SCAN domain-containing protein 29-like, with no coding region annotated. The transcript has 2 exons. The record is from RefSeq and is a predicted model, not a curated record. Lineage: Eukaryota; Metazoa; Chordata; Lepidosauria; Squamata; Phrynosomatidae.
GUAACAUCUGCAUUUUGAUCCAUAUAAAAAAGUAAAGAGAUAACUAAAUCAGAAAUUGUGCAUUGACCAUAGUAAGAAUACUCUAGAAAAAGUGUAGGUCGAUAAUACAACUAAAAAUGUAGGACAUUAAAAUUUCUCCAUCUUUUUGCAGAUAGAAUACAUAAGAAUACAGAGUGGCAAUGCUGUUGUCUAAUAUUUUAAUCCUCCAUAUCUACACCCAUCUAUCCCUUCCUAUCUUGGAAAGGCAUGGCGACCUCAGGGAUGGUAGUCCAUUUCUGUAUUGUUUUCUUUUGGAAACUUAUAAGGGAAAUAGCAUAACAUGACAUUAUAGUGACUGUCUUUAGCAACUGUUCCUUAUGGCUACAACACUGGGAGAAUUCCAUGGCAUACCAUGCAACAAUGAGCCUUUACUUGUAAAGCUACAAACUUACCCGAGGGAUUUUUUUCCUGUGAGGCAUGGUUCCCGGCCAUAAGCCACAGCUCUUUCAUUUGGUUGAAGAAGGGUGGUUGUUUUUCUUUGGGAGGUGAUGGCCCUAAAUUAAUCACACUGUCCAAAAAGGUAUCACGCGUUUUUUUGAACUUCAUGAAUACCUCUUCGACGGUGCGGUUGUAGCCAUGCAUUUUUAAAUGCGCUGCUACCUCUCUAUGCACAGGAAGAAUGGGCAUAGAACGGGACCUCAUGAGCAUCUUUAAUUUUCCGCUCCCCCUAACACUUCUAAGGAGCAGUUCUAUCUCCUUAUUUGCCCACGUGGAACCCUUCCUACGCGCCAUCACUGCUUCCCAAGAACUUCGGCCACUCUGCAAAGGUCCAGCGGGAAGAUGGAUUUGCAACGUCAUCACUGUGCAGGGAUUCUUGGCGCGAAAAUAUAGACUUGCGCCCCCUAGUGCUUUUACUGCUGUGCAGGGAGUUUGGGAGUGGAGAGAGCCAGCAGCAGCAGCUAAGUGAUACCGCAGACGUUUGAUUCACAACCUCUAUAAUUAGAUUGCAGACAGCAUUAUUUUAUAUUUGCUGUCAUUAGGAAAGCCAUGGAUAGCCAUGCAGUGACCGAAAGUGGUGCCUCCACACAAGCAAGGGGGAGGGUGUGGAGUGCCAAUGAAGUUUUGGCCUUAUUAGAAAUAUGGAAAGAACAAAAAUUGCAGAACAAAUUAAAAAAGAAUUAUAGAAAUUUGGAUAUUUUUAAGGAUGUAGCUGAUGAAAUGGCAAAGAAAAACCAUGUCAGAUCUGCAGAGGAAUGCAGAAGCAAAUCCAAAAAAAUGAGAUUUGAGUAUAGAAAGGUUGUGAAACAUAAUCAGAGAAGUGGAAGCAACCCUAUUACAUGUCCCUUUUACAGGGAACUAGAGGAAAUCUUUCAUGGGGAUGUUAGCAUCACCCCUCAUAGGUUAUCCCGAAGUCUUGAUUUUGAAAGGGAGGGUGAAACCACAAAUGUGACUGAGGAAACCGCAUCCACCUCCAUGGCUAACACAGGCGAUGGAGGCACCCAGGAAACAACUACCAGACAAGACAGUGAUGAAGGCAAGUAGCCCAUCUGUAAUGCCCGAUCAUUUCUGCUAUGUGCGUGACAACAUUAUUAUUUUUUUAAAAUAACAAAUGCUUUACUCUUUUUUUCCCCUUGCAUUUUUCAGAUUCUGAUGACACUUGUCUCGAUGACACUAUCAUUAAUAUUCCUUUCACCAUUUUGGAAAGUGGACCUACGCAAAUAGCAGGUGCGACUGGAGAACAAUUGGGACACUUGGAAAGACGUGCAGAUGGUACCAGCGGUGGAACCGAUGGUAGGUAGUAUCUGCUUCUCUAAGAAAAUUCCUUGUCUAAAACCCAUAACAUGAUGCUAACAUAAGAAAUACAUUUCCUUACUGUGGGCUUAAUCUAUUUUCUCAAAUUUUUUAAUUUCAGUACGUAACGAUCCCGAUGAGGAACAGGAACAACCCAAUGUAUUGCUGUCUCCUG